UACGUAGGGCGCAAGCGUUGUCCGGAACUAUUGGGCGUAAAGAGCUCGUAGGUGGCGUGUCGCGUCUGCCGUGAAAGCCCAUGGCUUAACUGUGGGUCUGCGGUGGAUACGGGCAGGCUGGAGGCUGGUAGGGGCAAGCGGAAUUCCUGGUGUAGCGGUGAAAUGCGCAGAUAUCAGGAGGAACACCGGUGGCGAAGGCGGCUUGCUGGGCCAGUUCUGACGCUGAGGAGCGAAAGCGUGGGGAGCGAACAGG
Molecule: ribosomal RNA, 253 nt
Filed under: uncultured bacterium
Lineage: Bacteria
Description: partial 16S ribosomal RNA
Rfam family: Bacterial small subunit ribosomal RNA
Source: RNAcentral